CCCUUAGAUGUUCUGGGCGGCCCGCGCACUACAUUGGCACUCUCAAUAAGUUCCUAGAUCUAAAACUUUGGGGUAUUCUAUUAAGUGGUGUCGUGACUGGGAUUAACCCUUGCAAUUAUUGGUUACGAACGAGGAAUUCCUUGUAAUCGCGGUUUAUCAGCCCGCGUUGAAUGCGUCCCUGCCCUUUGUACACACCGCCCGUCGCUCCUACCGAUUGAAUGUUCCGGUGAGCUCUUCGGACUGCGCGGUCUGCAGUUUCUGCGUUCCGUGCGGAAAGUUGCGCAAACCUUAACAUUUAGAGGAAGGAGAAGUCGUAACA
RNAcentral lists this ribosomal RNA (319 nucleotides) under uncultured eukaryote. RNAcentral describes it as "partial 18S ribosomal RNA". It matches the Rfam family "Eukaryotic small subunit ribosomal RNA", at positions 1470 to 1796 of the family's 1831-position model. The record is from RNAcentral.